GACGUAGGGCGCGAGCGUUGUCCGGAUUUAUUGGGCGUAAAGAGCGUGUAGGCGGUCCGGUAAGUCCGCUGUGAAAGUCGGGGGCUCAACCCUCGAAUGCCGGUGGAUACUGUCGGGCUAGAGUGCGGAAGAGGCGAGUGGAAUUCCUGGUGUAGCGGUGAAAUGCGCAGAUAUCAGGAGGAACACCUAUUGCGAAGGCAGCUCGCUGGGACGUAACUGACGCUGAGACGCGAAAGCGUGGGGAGCAAACAGG
RNAcentral lists this ribosomal RNA (253 nucleotides) under uncultured bacterium. Its description in RNAcentral is "partial 16S ribosomal RNA". It matches the Rfam family "Bacterial small subunit ribosomal RNA", at positions 524 to 776 of the family's 1533-position model. The record is from RNAcentral.